CUCUCUCUCUCUCUCUCUCUCUCCUCCAACAUGCAAAAGUAUGUAACGCACGUCAUCUUGUAAGGUGCGCGCAAUGGCUUAUUCCUGCACCAGUAAUGCAUUGUAUCGUGUGUACUAAAAGCUUCCCUAAUUUGGUGCGGAGAAGCAGCGGGAAGUGAGUAACAGACCCUUACACGCACUUUAAGGUUUGCUCAGCACACACGAGUAACCUUCACUCCUUUCUUUAGUGAUUGGAGUAACGCAUCCUACACCUGGUCAAAUCAUGAUUAAAUAAAAUAAUUGAGAUUGAAAAUGGUUCUAUACGGCGAGAAAUUCGAUUACAGCAACGUGCAACACACUAAGGUACAAGAACGAGUGGCUCGGUGCCGGGCCGAAGCCGCCCGGUGGGGCCGGGAGCAGGCUCGGCGGUGGGCCGCCAAACGAAAAGCAGCACAGAGGCUUGCCCGUGCUGGAGCACCCUGCCCAGAGGGUUCCCAUGGCCAAAGCACCAUUGGCCAAAAUUCCUAUGCCUGAGAUUAAUGGCCAGUCUCCCACUGGCGAAUAUCAUCUAGGCGAAUAUUACACUGGAGAAUAUUACGAUGGAGAAUCGCUCGUCGUUCAGUUCAUCGUUGGCGAACUAUACGGUGAGGAACCCUCCGCUGUCCACUUUAUUGUGGGGCAGUUCGAAGAAGACGACUCCUUCGGACUGUUCCUGAUGAUGAAACAAACAGAACCCAUUGGCUGAGACAACUGACAUGACAUGACCUAUCCUGGUGAUAUUUCCCCUGGCCAAUCCUGACGAUUCCUUGGCCAAUCCUGAUGGCGACCGAAUCACGCAAGGUCAAAUCUCUCCUGGCAAAUCUUGACGACGACUGAAUCUCUAAUGGACAAUCCUGGCGACGGCCAAAUCUUUCCUGGCCAACCCUGAUGAUGACUGUACCUCUCCUGGCCAAUCCUAACGACGACCGAAUCUCUAAUGGACAACCCUGGCGACGGCCAAAUCUCCCCUGGCCAAUCCUGACGACGACUGAAUCUCUAAUGGACAACCCUGGCCACGGCCAAAUCUCCCCUGGCCAAUCCUGACGACGACUGAAUAUCUAAUGGACAACCCUGGCCACGGCCAAAUCUCCCCUGGCCAAUCCUGACGACGACUGAAUAUCUAAUGGACAACCCUGGCGACGGCCAAAUCUCCCAUGGCCAAUCCUGACGAUGACUGAAUCUCUAAUGGACAACCCUGGCAACGGCCAAAUCUCCCCUGGCCAAUCCUGACAAAGACUGAAUCUCUAAUGAACAACCCUGGCAACGGCCAAAUCUCCCCUGGCCAAUCCUGAAGACGACUGAAUCUCUAAUGGACAACCCUGGCCACGGCCAAAUCUCCCCUGGCCAAUCCUGACGACGACUGAAUAUCUAAUGGACAACCCUGGCAACGGCCAAAUCUCCCCUGGCCAAUCCUGUCAACUACUGAAUCUCUAAUGGACAACCCUGGUGACGGCCAAAUCUCCCCUGGCCAAUCCUGAUGAUGACUGAAUCUCUAAUGGACAACCCUGGCGAUGGCCAAAUCUCCCUUGGCCAAUCCUGACGGCGACUGAAUCUCUAAUAGACAACCCUGGCCACGGCCAAAUCUCCCCUGGCCAAUCCUGACGACGACCGAAUUUUUAAUGGACAACCCUGGCAAUGGCCAAAUCUCCCCUGGCCAAUCCUGACGACGACUGAAUCUCUAAUGGAUAAUCCUGGCGACGGCCAAAUCUCCCUUGGCCAAUCCUGACGACGACUGAACCUCUCCUGGCCAAUCCUGAUGACGACCGAAUCUCUAAUGGACAACCCUGGCGACGGCCAAAUCUCCCCUGGCUAAUCCUGACGAUGACUGAAUCUCUAAUAGACAAUCCUGGCGACGGCCAAAUCUCCCCUGGCCAAUCCUGAGAUGACUGAACCUUCCCUGGCCAAUCCUGACGACAACUGAAUCUCUAAUGAACAAUCUUGGCGACGGUGAAAUCUCCCUUGGCCAAUUCUGAUGAUGACUGAAUCUCUAAUGGACAACCCUGGUGAUGGCCAAAUCUCCCCUGGCCAAUCCUGAUGACGACUGAAUCUCUAAUGGACAACCCUGACGACGGCCAAAUCUCCCCUGGCCAAUCUUGACAACGACUGAACCUCUCCUGGCCAAUCCUGACGACGACCGAAUGUAAUAGGCACUACUUUGCAUGAAGAAAAGAAUAGAUGUAAGAGUAGAAUUAGAAGGAAAUUAGAGACGCGUUAGAGAAUCUAACGCUAGUAUUAGAAGAAUUGUGCAAGAGGUGAACAGGACGUUGAAUUGAUAACAGCCAAGCUUAACUAUAAACAGCCGGUUUGUUUUAUGCCCAUUCAGCUUGUUAAAGGCUUACCUCCCAUUGGGUGGAGAUUAAAACGUCAUUCAUUUUGCUUGAUAUUAUUGGCUAUGGAAAUCUAUGACGUAUGCCUCGACACCUCUCGGACAAUCCUCAAGUCACUUUUAGAGCAGUAGCAGCCAGUCACCAAGAUAGUACAGACGCACAACCCGUGUCGCUCUGACUUGAGUUACUCAAAGACUUAGACUCUGAUCAAGACGCAAGAGUCUUAAUAACUUUGCUUAUAACCUUUGUCGUGUGAUUGAGUAGUUAAGAAGUGCACUGUUGUUGAGCUGUAAAGACAAUUUAUAUUUUCUAAAUAAACUGCAAAACGCCAGACUAACUUUGAUAACCCACUUGCACAAGGAUGUUGUGAGUGAUGAUUAUCGAGAAAGAAAAUCGUCGUCUCCGAUACCAAGCUACGCCCACCGACACAUAGUCGCCACAGGGGCUAGAGACAGUGUACAUACAAAUACAUGACAACACAGUGGUGCCAAACAUACAGUGGUGGCACUACAGUGGUGGCAGCGGUGGGAUUCUGAAGCCUAAACAACCUCCGAAGAGUAAGAAGAGUUUACAAACAUUAGAAACAAACAGCAGCAACGGAAACAACAGCAAUAACGCUUCCCCAGCCAGCACAGUGAGUCAAGGUCAACCCCGCAAGUGUGCACAAGUCCCACACCGCGCCGCACCGCGCCACACCUCAUCACACUCCCGAGCCACUACUCACACGAUCAAACUCAAGAGUAACUCUCAAUUAAUACCACCAAACAACGAGACCAAUAUCUAAAUACUAAGAAGAGACUUAGAAGAGGAAACCGCAGCCAGAGACGAGAGCAGGAUCAGCGCCGCCCCAGCAGUCGCCGCACACAGCCAUCAGCCACAGCACACCGCCACCAGCAGCCGCCGCACACAGCCAUCAGCCACAGCACGCCGCCACCAGCAGCCGCCGCUCAAGAAGACAUUGCUACUCACUUGUCUAUACUUUGGUAACAGUAUUCAACCUGUCAUUCAUUAAUGUAAUUAUAUUCAUGUAAUAUUUUAUCUAAUACCCAGUGCACCAACAGUUUGUGUAUGCCUGAGGAAUGACUGAGCACGAAGAAACAUUGAGUAUAACUGCCUUAUUGUAGAGCAUUCCCAACAUUAUCACACGCACUAAUCAUCAUAGGACAAGGUAAAGAUGAAACAAGUGGCAUGCAUGUUCUCAGCUAUAGUAGUUCUAGCAACAGCCUGGGACCCUGUGAGGCCCGGAGCUUUAGUAAGGAAAAUCGGCGACAUGAUCAUUGUGAACCACUCAGUAAGAGUACUAUUGAAAUUUGACAAUAUAAAUGUUGUAAGAGAAAAUGUCAGACAUAUCAAUAACGGUUUACAGAUGGUAAAAGACAAAUUGAUAAUUAGUAAGAUAUCCAAUGUGAGAUUAGAGAAGAAAUUAGAUGCUAUACAGACGAAGGUCACCAAAAUAGAAAAUAACUUCCUACAUAGCAAAAGCAAAAGAGGAGUAGGUAUCGCAAUAGCGAUCGGAUCGUUAGUAGGUCUUGGAGUAACAAAUAUUGGUUUGUAUGCAGAACUUCGCUCAAAUGUAAAUAAUCUACAAAACUCAGUGUCUAGAAUCGAUGUCUUACAAGAAGAAACAGAAGAUAUACAACUUACCAUAGAUGAGAUGAUUAAUAACAUAGAAACUUUAAGCACAGAGAACUCUAAAUUGAAGGAAUCCCUGGAAAUUUUCAUGGUCUUGGAUCAGUUGCACAUUAAGAUAAAUGAACUAAAUGCUGAAAUGGAACAGUUAAUUCAAGACUUAGUUAUGGCUAAUGCUGGACAUGUUACAUACACAUUAUUUUCAAUAUCACAACUUCUAAACAUAACUCAACAAGCAAAAUAUGAGUGGAAUUUUCAACCUUUCUUUGAUUCAAAUAAUAUUGCUCUAUAUUAUCCCAUUCUUAAUUCAUUCAUAAAUGAUACUGGAGUACUCAUUGACAUUCCAUUUUCAUCAGAAUUGAAAUAUCACAUGUAUAAUCUGAUUCCUUUCCCAAUGAAAUUUAAUAGUUCCAUUAUAACAGUUGAUACUGAUAUAACAUCUCCAACAAAUUACAUCCUAUCCAUAAAUGGUUUGAAAGAAAGUGUUAUAGUAAAUGAUGAUCUAUUGCACUGUAAGAAAACUAACGUAGACCUGUACAUUUGCUCAGCUACUUAUUUUACUUUCAAUGAAGCAUUGAGUCACUCAUGUGCCGCAUCCUUGGUGAAAAAUAUAUCCAUUGUACGUAAUUGUCAUUUUAAGGAAGAAACUCCCAUAACACGUCAUGAAACUAUCCAGGAAUCUCACUACUUAUAUUUUCCAAACAAGACAACUGUAUCAGUCAUAUGCCCAGGAUUUCAACCUCAGAUAGCAUCAAUAGAAGGCUUAUAUCGUGUACCAGAUCAAUGUGAACUUCAUAGCCCCACACUCACAACUGUAGCAAAUAGGAAAAAGACUAUUGUACUUAAUAGAGAAAAUGUUUUACAGGACAUUACUAUGAAAUUCCCAGACAGAGCUCCUCCUUUGAAAAUCAGAAA
This is a long non-coding RNA of Scylla paramamosain (green mud crab), 4889 nucleotides long. RefSeq lists it as uncharacterized. Lineage: Eukaryota; Metazoa; Arthropoda; Malacostraca; Decapoda; Portunidae. The record is from RefSeq and is a predicted model, not a curated record. The transcript has 2 exons.